This 21-nucleotide microRNA is filed under the name Physcomitrium patens. Its description in RNAcentral is "ppt-miR11322". The record is from miRBase by way of RNAcentral. Lineage: Eukaryota; Viridiplantae; Streptophyta; Bryopsida; Funariales; Funariaceae.
AGCACAGGGACAACGGAGUGU